RNAcentral lists this ribosomal RNA (445 nucleotides) under uncultured bacterium. Its description in RNAcentral is "partial 16S ribosomal RNA". It matches the Rfam family "Bacterial small subunit ribosomal RNA", at positions 354 to 796 of the family's 1533-position model. The record is from RNAcentral.
GUGAGGAAUAUUGCGCAAUGGAGGCAACUCUGACGCAGCCAUGCCGCGUGCAGGAAGAAGGCGCUACGCGUUGUAAACUGCUUUUAACCGGGAAGAAACCCCAGGACGUGUCCUGGGUUGACGGUACCGGAGGAAUAAGCACCGGCUAACUUCGUGCCAGCAGCCGCGGUAAUACGAAGGGUGCAAGCGUUAUCCGGAUUCAUUGGGUUUAAAGGGUGCGUAGGCGGAGCGUUAAGUCAGUGGUGAAAUCCUGCAGCUUAACUGUAGACUUGCCAUUGAUACUGGCGCUCUUGAGUGCGCUUGAAGUGGGCGGAAUGUGCCGUGUAGCGGUGAAAUGCUUAGAUAUGGCACAGAACACCAAUUGCGAGGGCAGCUCACUAAGGCGAUACUGACGCUGAGGCACGAAAGCGUGGGGAUCGAACAGGAUUAGAUACCCCAGUAGUCC